This is a long non-coding RNA of Talpa occidentalis (Iberian mole), 2995 nucleotides long. RefSeq lists it as uncharacterized. NCBI's taxonomy places the organism in Eukaryota, Metazoa, Chordata, Mammalia, Eulipotyphla, Talpidae. The record is from RefSeq and is a predicted model, not a curated record. The transcript has 4 exons.
GACACUCCAACACCAAACUGCAUUUCUGAGACCUUCCCAUUCCCUGCGUCAGAGGAGCCGGUCGCACACCGCCCACGCAACAGCGGUCCCCAGAUGACAAUCUGUCUGGAUGCCCUAAGGAAUUUUAAUAUUCAUAAACUUAUGCAGAUACAGCUAUGAGCAUUAUUUCAACUGUUUUCCCAUACACAGGAGGAUGUACCUUCAGUGUGCAGAGUCAGAUUUUGUUUAUUUAUACAAGAGCUGGGAUACAGACCAGAGGCGCAGGAUGGUGAGAGGAUUCACCAGAGAGAGUGGGGAGCAGAACAGGCAGACAACGAAAACACUGCUGAGGGGAGUAGCGGGGAUACAGAAGAGGUCUGCUGCACCAUGUGGGUAUCUCCCUGGCCAGCUGGGAAUCAAACCAGUGCUGUAGAGGCUGUGGACAGCUUCACAGCGCUGCACUCAACCUGUUGCGCCACCAGCCUGAACCUGAGAAUGCAUGUGGCCUGAAGCAUCAAUGAUCUCUAUCUGAAAAACCAACUAACGUGUAAAAUUUAUAUACACGAAACAAGCACUUAAAUUUUGUGAUGAAACUACAAGUAACAGUUACGGUCAUUGCAAAGUUGUGUAAGACCGUCAAAGCAACCAUCAUGACCCAAAGCAGAUGGACUUCACGCCAAGCUAAUGUCUGGUCAUACUUUUCAAGAUCAGAUCGAGAGUUUCAUAGGGAAAUGCAGACACACGCUAGGGAAGGGAAGGGUUGAUUCCCCUUACUUCCUUUUCUGUUUCAUUCCACAGAUAUUUUAUUCCAAGUAUAUGUAGAAGAGUAUAAGCUACAGCCCCUGCUGACAAGAAGUGAGUGUAGAUACGCCCAUAAAUAAUGUCAGUAAGUGAUGAGGAUAAAAUCAAGAGUAUCAAAGGUGAUGGAAACAGUUGAUCGGUGAAACUUCACGGAUGAACCUUGAGAAAGUUUAAAGGACAGACAGGAGUCCAUAUGGGAGAAAAGGGCAUCGGGCAAAGAUUACCAUGUGAAGUCAAGCCAGGAAAUUGGGAGCACUGUUCCCCCUUGAUCCUGGAGAGAAGGGAGGAGAUGGUGGUCCCACCUGAAGAGUGUCAUUUGAGAAGGCAUCUAGUUGAUUAAUGGGGGCAUAAACACUAGGGGGACUUUUCCUCCCAUUCAAGCCACAUGGGAGUCAGCACAUGGCUGGUGCUAGUUAGCGGCAUCAUGGUUUAGACCUGGCAUGCUGACCUCUGCCUUUCCCUGCCACUGCAAUGUGGUUCCAGGACUUCAAACAUGGUGUCCUCAAGCCAUUGUAUUCAAAAGCUGUGAUGAAAGAGGCUAUGGAUCCAGAGAGGAAAAGCUCUGCCAGGAAGUUCCAGAGGACAUUUCCAAGUAUAUCCCAUGACAGAAGAGGGAGACAUGCCAGCCCUGAAGCAGCAGGGUCAAGGGGGAACCCCAGACAUCUCACAUCAGGUUUUGUUGACAAGGGAGAAGGGGUAGUCAAUGAACAAUGCUUGACACAUGGAGUUUGGGGGCCACAUCCCAGAACCACUUUUCUUCACGUUGCGUGAGGUUUAUUCAGGGAGUGGAGGAAUAACCAUUAAAACGUGGGUGGGAAUCGCCCAUCGAGACCUGUAAUCUAGCGAGAAGGUAGCGCUGCUGGCAGAGCAGAACGCAAAGGGCAGGGAAGGACCACACCGAGGAAGAGCUCACGGCAGCUCAGGUCAGAGACGAGGAGGGCCUGAGGCAGCCAGGAUCAAGGAUGAGGACAACAAACCGCUCAUGAUGAUGGGGAAGCGCCGUGCAGUGCAAGAAUCCAAAUCAGCUGGAGUCGUUUUAUUUCUUAGCUUUGCUUGUUGUGUUCGGUUUUUUUUUGUUUUUGUUUUUUUUACAUUGCCAGGUACUGCUGAGAACUUUGGAAAGCAAACGCUCCAGAUGGAAGAGCUUCUCUAGCUGGUAGCGGGAGGGAUUUGGACCUGGGUUGGACGUGGAUGGGGAGCACCAGAAGCAAAGGCUUGCAGUCUGGAUCUCGGGCAGCCACUGACCCCUGAAGCUAGAUAUUUAGUAGCCGUUAGUGACAUCUAAGUAUUUUUUGCUCUAGAGGAGUUUUAAGCGGACAGGAGGACGCAGGGCACAAUCUGGGGACAACACAGACAGCGAUAUUUACAUGUUAAGGGGAAAGAGCAGAGCAAAGGGAUUUCAGAUGGGAAGUGAACGGGUGGAAUGUGAUAUCACGAAAACCAAGGAGGCUGAGCAUUCAGGGCACGCGUCACUCGACAGUAUCCAACAGCAGAGAGGUCAGAGGGCGAGAACCAGGAAAAGGUGGAGACACAGGCCAAGAGAGCCUCAGUGAUGCUGACAGACACCGGGCACCUGGGUUGCAGCAGAGGGAUGGAGAAGGGAGAAGGAAAGACGUUGCCAUUUCAAAAUGCUCGCAAGAGGGGGAACUGGAAAGGCAUUCGGCGAGCCAGCAAGGGCAGAUGACGGUGCGGAGGGAGCUGGUCGCGCGGUCACAUCCACGCACAGGAGAGACCACGCAGAGAACGGUCUGAAAGGCAAAACCGCACAACUUGAGUGAAAUGGGAAGUCCCUGGAAAGGGAUUAAACUUGGGAAAAGCCAGCGGCACGCACAUUUUUAACUAAAAUAUUUUCAUUGAAAUAACAUCGUGAACUGCAGAGACCCGGCUUAAAUACACAGUGCACAGAGUUUUGACAAAUGUGUUUCUCAUGUGACCCCAAUCAAGUUAUAGAAAUUCUAUCACCCCAGAUGUUUCUCUCACACUCUCCCCUGCUGCCCCAGAGAGGAAACCGCUAUUCUCAACUUGCUUUUACUGCAGUUUGGUUUAGCUUGUUCUAGAGCUUCCUACAGUCCGCUCCUGGUCUGCUUCCUUUGCGCCAACGCAACGUGCUGGAGACCCACUCUCUCCGCGUCCAGACUUCCAGGACACUGUGUUGUGAGCCGUCUGUCCAUCCCUUGUUUCUAACUUUAGACAAUGAAUAAAGUUACUGGGAACA